RNAcentral lists this non-coding RNA (38 nucleotides) under Mycobacterium tuberculosis. Lineage: Bacteria; Bacillati; Actinomycetota; Actinomycetes; Mycobacteriales; Mycobacteriaceae. The record is from RNAcentral.
CUUCAGCACCACCAUCAUCCGGCGCCUCAGCUCAGCAU